This 27-nucleotide non-coding RNA is filed under the name Rattus norvegicus (Norway rat). Lineage: Eukaryota; Metazoa; Chordata; Mammalia; Rodentia; Muridae. The record is from RNAcentral.
UGUGUUGUGCCAAGUAGCUUGAUUCUG